AGUGAGCGCUGGCGGCAGGCCUAAUACAUGCAAGUCGAACGGCAGCACAGUGGAGCUUGCUCCAUGGGUGGCGAGUGGCGGACGGGUGAGGAAUACAUGGGAAUCUGCCCAGUCGUGGGGGAUAACGUAGGGAAACUUACGCUAAUACCGCAUGCGCCCUUCGGGGGAAAGCCGGGGACCUUCGGGCCUGGCGCGAUUGGAUGAGCCCAUGUUCGAUUAGCUAGUUGGCGGGGUAAAGGCCCACCAAGGCGACGAUCGAUAGCUGGUCUGAGAGGAUGAUCAGCCACACUGGGACUGAGACACGGCCCAGACUCCUACGGGAGGCAGCAGUAGGGAAUAUUGGACAAUGGGCGCAAGCCUGAUCCAGCCAUGCCGCGUGAGUGAAGAAGGCCCUCGGGUUGUAAAGCUCUUUUGUCCGGGAAGAAAAGCAUCGGGCUAAUACCUCGGUGUUCUGACGGUACCGGAAGAAUAAGCACCGGCUAACUUCGUG
Molecule: ribosomal RNA, 490 nt
Filed under: uncultured bacterium
Lineage: Bacteria
Description: partial 16S ribosomal RNA
Rfam family: Bacterial small subunit ribosomal RNA
Source: RNAcentral